RNAcentral lists this transfer RNA (72 nucleotides) under Camelus bactrianus (Bactrian camel). It matches the Rfam family "tRNA". From Rfam's summary of the family: Transfer RNA (tRNA) molecules are approximately 80 nucleotides in length. Their secondary structure includes four short double-helical elements and three loops (D, anti-codon, and T loops). RNAcentral also lists the same sequence under 3 other names. The record is from Rfam by way of RNAcentral. Lineage: Eukaryota; Metazoa; Chordata; Mammalia; Artiodactyla; Camelidae.
GAGGGUAGAACUCAGUGAUAGAGUGUGUGCUUUGCAUGCUUGAGGUCCUGGGUUCAAUCCCCAGUACCUCCA